GCGGGCGUAGCUCAGGGGUAGAGCACAACCUUGCCAAGGUUGGGGUCACGGGUUCGAAUCCCGCCGCCCGCUCCA
RNAcentral lists this transfer RNA (75 nucleotides) under Acetobacteraceae bacterium. RNAcentral's name for it is "tRNA-Gly". It matches the Rfam family "tRNA". From Rfam's summary of the family: Transfer RNA (tRNA) molecules are approximately 80 nucleotides in length. Their secondary structure includes four short double-helical elements and three loops (D, anti-codon, and T loops). The record is from RNAcentral. RNAcentral also lists the same sequence under 3 other names. Lineage: Bacteria; Pseudomonadati; Pseudomonadota; Alphaproteobacteria; Acetobacterales; Acetobacteraceae.